Molecule: ribosomal RNA, 249 nt
Filed under: uncultured bacterium
Lineage: Bacteria
Description: partial 16S ribosomal RNA
Rfam family: Bacterial small subunit ribosomal RNA
Source: RNAcentral
UACGGGGGGGCAAGCGUUGUUCGGAAUUACUGGGCGUAAAGGCUCGUAGGCGGCCAACUAAGUCGGACGUGAAAUCCCUCGGCUUAACCGGGGAACUGCGUCCGAUACUGGAUGGCUUGAGUUGGGAGAGGGAUGCGGAAUUCCAGGUGUAGCGGUGAAAUGCGUAGAUAUCAGGAAGAACACCGUGGCGAAGGCGGCUCUCUGGGACGGUACUGACGCUGAGACGCGAAAGCGUGGGGAGCGAACAGG